RNAcentral lists this transfer RNA (73 nucleotides) under Ophiophagus hannah (king cobra). It matches the Rfam family "tRNA". Rfam says of the family: Transfer RNA (tRNA) molecules are approximately 80 nucleotides in length. Lineage: Eukaryota; Metazoa; Chordata; Lepidosauria; Squamata; Elapidae. The record is from Rfam by way of RNAcentral.
GCCUGUUUGGUCUAGUGGUUAAGGCACCAGGCUAGAAACUGGGAGACUAUGAAUUCUAGUUCCAUCUUAGGCA